RNAcentral lists this non-coding RNA (924 nucleotides) under Hylorina sylvatica (emerald forest frog). RNAcentral describes it as "partial 12S ribosomal RNA". It matches the Rfam family "Bacterial small subunit ribosomal RNA". Lineage: Eukaryota; Metazoa; Chordata; Amphibia; Anura; Alsodidae. The record is from RNAcentral.
UGGUCCUAGCCUUGAAAUCAAUUAUUACUUAAUAUACACAUGCAAGUCUCCGCACCCCUGUGAAAACGCCCUUUAAUCCCCAAUAGGGAUAAGGAGCCGGUAUCAGGCACAAAAAUCUGCCCAAGACACCUAGCUAUGCCACACCCACAAGGGAACUCAGCAGUGAUUAACAUUGAACAUAAGCGACAGCUUGAUUCAGUUAAAGUAAAGAGAGCCGGCAAAUCUGGUGCCAGCCGCCGCGGUUACACCACGUGGCUCGAAUUGACUUCUAUCGGCGUAAAGCGUGAUUUAAGUUCGCAACAUAUUAGAAUUAAACUAAAACUAAGCUGUGACACGCUUGUUAUAUAAGAAAACCAAAAACGAAAGUUAUUCUAACUUAACCCACUUGAACUCACGACAGCCAGGACACAAACUGGGAUUAGAUACCCCACUAUGCCUUGCCGUAAACUUUCAUUUACACCUCAAUCGCCCGGGAACUACAAGCAAAGCUUAAAACCCAAAGGACUUGACGGUACCCCAUAUCCCCCUAGAGGAGCCUGUCCUAUAAUCGAUAACCCCCGUUUAACCUCACCAUUUUUAGUACAUCAGCCUGUAUACCUCCGUCGUCAGCUUACCACGUGAGCGCAACUUAGUGAGCUUAAUGCCUAUACACCAAUACGUCAGGUCAAGGUGCAGCAAAUGAAAUGGGAAGAGAUGGGCUACACUUUCUAGUAUAGAAUACACGAAAGACUACCUAUGAAACCUAGUCAGAAGGCGGAUUUAGCAGUAAAAAGAAAUUAGAAUGUUCUUUUUAACUUGGCACUGGGGUGUGUACACACCGCCCGUCACCCUCUUCAAAGCCGAAAAUUAGUAUUUAACCUAUUAAUGCACAACAGAAGAGGCAAGUCGUAACAUGGUAAGUAUACCGGAAGGUGUGCUUGGAAA